This 69-nucleotide transfer RNA is filed under the name Ictidomys tridecemlineatus (thirteen-lined ground squirrel). RNAcentral describes it as "Spermophilus tridecemlineatus (thirteen-lined ground squirrel) tRNA". It matches the Rfam family "tRNA". Rfam says of the family: Transfer RNA (tRNA) molecules are approximately 80 nucleotides in length. Their secondary structure includes four short double-helical elements and three loops (D, anti-codon, and T loops). The record is from Rfam by way of RNAcentral. Lineage: Eukaryota; Metazoa; Chordata; Mammalia; Rodentia; Sciuridae.
GGAGUUGUGGCUCUGUGGUAGAGCGCUUGCCUUGCAUGUAUGAGGCCCUGGGUUCGAUACACAGCACCA